This 304-nucleotide long non-coding RNA is filed under the name Solanum tuberosum (potato). RNAcentral's name for it is "long non-coding RNA (STUB_LNC002396)". Lineage: Eukaryota; Viridiplantae; Streptophyta; Magnoliopsida; Solanales; Solanaceae. The record is from RNAcentral.
CUAAAAAUGAGCUCAAAUGUGACCUUUACUUCGUUCAAUUACAACUCAAGCUUCCGGAGAUUAUCAUCUGAGUACUGGGUGUUAUUAUUUGUGUUUGAACUCCUACUUACAACAGUUAAAUAAUGGAAGUCUAUCGGAGCAAUGAAAUUUUAUCCCAACUUUAUUUUUUUCCCUUUUGCCAUUUGAAGUAUUUUCACCUAUCUACUACCUUUUGGACCUUUUCUUCAAUAUAACUCUCUGUUAGCUCGCUGGACAGGCCUUUGGUAUUGAUUAACCUGAUAUGGGAUGAAUUAGUAGCCCCAGC